ACACCAGUUGAUCCUGCUGGAGGAUACUGCUAUCGGAUUGCGCCUAAGCCAUGCAAGUUUUGUGACUCGGCAUGAGUCACGGCGGAUGGCUCAGUAACACGUAGUCAACCUACCUUAAGGACGGGGAUACCCUCGGGAAACUGAGGUGAAACCCCGAUAGGUCAGGAAAUCUGGAAUGAUUCCUGGUUUAAACAGCGCGCGAAACGCAGCGUUGCUGCCUUAAGAUGGGACUGCGGCCGAUCAGGCUGUUGGUGAGGUAACGGCUCACCAAACCUAUUAUCGGUAGGGGCUAUGGGAGUAGGAGCCCCGAGACGGGCACUGAGACAAGGGCCCGAGCCCUACGGGGUGCAGCAGGCGCGAAACUUCCGCAAUGCGCGAACUUCUUUUUCUUUCCGAAGAAAAAGACCUUCACUAGAAGCUUUCUUUUAGUCGAGGUUUUCUUUCACGAAAGAAAAAGUCGGCGUAAAAGCGUGACGGGGGUAGUCCGAGUGCCGUCCUAACGGACGGCUUUUAGCGAGCCUGAAUCGCUCGUUGAAUAAGUGGUGGGUAAAUCCUGUGCCAGCCGCCGCGGUAACACAGGUAGCACAAGUGGUAUCCACGAAUAUUGAGCUUAAAGCGCCCGUAGCCGGCUCGUCAAGUUUCCUGUGAAAUCUUCAGGCUUAACCUGAAGGCGUGCAGGAAAUACUAACGGGCUCGGGAGUGGGGGAGGCAUGGGGUACUGUAGGGGGAGGAGUAAAAUCCUGUAAUCCUUGCAGGACCGCCAGUGGCGAAGGCGCCAUGCCAAAACACGUCCGACGGUGAGGGACGAAGGCUAGGGGAGCAAAUCGGAUUAGAUUUGCCUGGGGAGUAACGCAAGGCUAAUAAACUUCUAUCGGGAAAGCGUACUAUGAGAUUAGAACGGCGGGUAGACUCGUUUUUGCAAAAACACUACAACGAGUUCACAUGCCUGCCUUCUAGGGAGUACGUCACAAAGAAAGGUAAACAACGAUUCCGCUUGCCAAAGCGCUUCACAAAGGAACUCGCGAGGCUGCUGGGGCUCUUGCACGGCGACGGGAACAUGUCCGGAAACCGGAUUUUGUUCACGGACAAGUGCAAGCCGUUCCACGCCAAGAUUCGCGCGCUGUUCAGAAAGGAGUUCGGCUUAACGCUGAACCUCUUCGAAGACAGAUUGCGAAAUUCUUGCUAUAGUCAUACCAAAAACAAGGUGAUUUACGAGUUCUUCGUCGAGGUGCUCGAAGCUCCGCGGGGUGCCGUGCGGGCAAACCUGCGAAUCCCAAAGUUCAUUUGGGAUUGGAGCGACGAGCUCAAGUCUGCCUACGUAGGCGGGCUGUUCGACGCCGAGGGAAGCGUGAGCAAAAGACAGGCGGAAAUCGGGUUUUAUUCAACCUCCGAAGAACUCUUUGACUUCGUGAAGGCAUUCCUUCAACGAAGCGGCAUUUCCUUCAGCGUUUACCGCCGAAGGAGGCACAAAAACGAAGAGUUCGAAAUCCACGUUUACGGCAAAGAUGAUUUGAAACGCUUUGCAAGAGAAGUCGAUUUUUUUCAUCCCGAAAAGAAGAAGAGAUUAGCCUUGUUCCUCAGGCACUAAAAACCCGAGUAGUCCUAGCAGUAAAUGAUGCAGACUUGGCGUCGCAUCCGCUUCGUGCGGAUGCGGUGCCGUAGGGAAACCGUUAAGUCUGCCGCUUGGGGAGUACGGUCGCAAGACUGAAACUUAAAGGAAUUGGCGGGGGAGCACCACAAGGGGUGGAUGCUGCGGUUCAAUUGGACUCAACGCCGGGAAGCUCACCAGGAAAGACGGCAGAAUGAAGCUCAGACUAAAGAUCUUAGCCGACAAGCCGAGAAGUGUUGCAUG
RNAcentral lists this ribosomal RNA (1852 nucleotides) under Candidatus Micrarchaeota archaeon CG08_land_8_20_14_0_20_59_11. Its description in RNAcentral is "bacterial SSU rRNA". It matches the Rfam family "Archaeal small subunit ribosomal RNA", at positions 1 to 996 of the family's 1478-position model. The record is from RNAcentral. Lineage: Archaea; Nanobdellati; Microcaldota.